AUGUUUGGGGCUGUGGGCACCUGGGCCAGGAGGACGAGGGCUUCGUGCUCCAACCCCAACUUCUUUUGGAGAGGGGCCUGGACGCUGCACCCCGCACACGGACACCCCCACACCCCUCACACCCUGCGGGUCCCGGCCCCAAACCGGUGCCAGCGGGGUCCCAGGGGUGCCACGGGCCGGGCUGCGGGGCAGGGGAUCCGGGAGGGGUCCUGGCUCGUAGGGGGAACCCUCAUUAAACAUCACCCCGGAGUUGGGCUUGCCCCUAAACCACCUCUCCCCCCCCAGCACCCCUCCCCGCGGGGCCGGUCCCUACCUGCGCGGGUGGCAGCGGGGCCCUGCGCGCACAGCAGCGCGCAAAGGAACGCGCAAAGGAGCGCGCAGCGCAGCGCCCCGGCGCACGGCGGGGCCAUGGCACGGCCCGGCACGGCUCGGCACGGCUCGGCACGGCCAGGCACGACUCAGCCCGGCUCGGCACGGCUCGGCACGGCCCGGCCCUUGCAGGGGGGGGGCCCGCCCCCCCGCUGCCCCCCCCCGCCCGCGGGAAAGCCACGGCGGUGCCCCCCCCCCCCCCCCGCAGGGCUGCAGGUUGUGCUGCUCCUGCUGCUCCCACUGCUCGCACUGCACACACAACGCACACGUUGCACGUACACUGUGCACACACACACACACACCAUGCACUGCACACGCACUGCACACACUGCAGACACUGCCCGCACACUGCUCACACGCUGCACCCUGCGCACCCUGCUUGCACAGCUGUCUGUGUGCACACUGCAUGGUGAGCAAACACUGCACACCCCAGACGCUGCACUCACUGCAUGCUGUGUGCACACUGCACGCUGCACACCCCGUGCACAGCACACACCCCCUACAUGCUGCACACCCUGCAUACGCUGCGUACACACUGCACAUGCUGUGUACACACUGCACACACACACUGCACACACACUGCACGCACACUGCAUGCACUGCAUACACACACUGCACACACACACACUGCACACACACUGCACACACACUGCACACCACACGUGCACUGCAUGCACUGCACAUACACGCUUCACACACACACACUGCACACUGCUCACACGCACUGCAAGCACUGCACACACACACUGCACACACGCUGCACACCCCACACCACUGCACACUGCAUAUGCCCUAUGUACACUGCACACGCCAGAUGUGGUGGUGGUGGGAUCCCUCUGGGGUCGCGGCACCGGGGGGAGCCCAACAUCCCCCCCCCGGGGUUCAGCACCCGCAGGGCCGAGCCCCCCCAUCUCCCCCUGACCGUCGGGGUCUCCCCCCCCACACACCCCCCCCGGGGCGCUGCGCUCCUAUGGGAUGCUUGCAGCCGAUCCCGGUGCCCUGCGCCCCCCCCCCCCCCCGCCCCGUGCCCCUGUAAGGUCUCGCCCGAGCCCCCCCGUGGGGGCAACCCCACUCAUGGGGUGUCCUGGAAGGGUCCCGGGGGUGCAUCUCCUCCUCCUCUUCCUCAUCUUCCUCCUCCUCCUCCUCCCUGCCAGCCGCCCUUCCCGCAACCCCGCGCCGGGCCAGCCCUUCCCGGCUCUCCCGGCGAUGAAUUAAUUAUUCAGGGCUAAUUAUUCCCGCGUGGGAAAGCCAGACGGAGCGCCCCAGCCCCGGAGCAGGGAGGGCCAAGCACCCCCAGCCACGCAGGGUGGGGGAGGACACCUCCUUGCACCCCCGCGGCCACCCCCACAUCCUUUCCCCGAGCGGAGCCUCCCACAGCCGCCCCCACGCCCCCCUCCCCCAGGGAAGCCCCCACACCUCUGCAAUAGUGGGGAGUGGAUUUUUUUUUUGGGGGGGGGGGGCGUUGCAGGGCUCUGCAUCACGGCCCUACAAGGGCUUCGCAAGGACGUGGCGGGGGGA
This 1887-nucleotide long non-coding RNA is filed under the name Anas platyrhynchos platyrhynchos (common mallard). Its description in RNAcentral is "lncRNA (ENSAPLG00000026050.1)". Lineage: Eukaryota; Metazoa; Chordata; Aves; Anseriformes; Anatidae. The record is from RNAcentral.